Molecule: signal recognition particle RNA, 273 nt
Filed under: Candidatus Sericytochromatia bacterium
Lineage: Bacteria; Bacillati; Candidatus Sericytochromatia
Description: Bacterial large signal recognition particle RNA
Rfam family: Bacterial large signal recognition particle RNA
About the family: The signal recognition particle (SRP) is a universally conserved ribonucleoprotein involved in the co-translational targeting of proteins to membranes.
Source: Rfam by way of RNAcentral
UUGUGCUAGGCGGGGAGUUAGCGGUGCCCUGUACUCGCAAUCCGCUUCAGCGAGGUCAAAUUCCCGUCCUGAGGUCCGAAGGUGCUGGAAUCGACUUUGUCUCUGCAGUGUUUGAGCGCGAUGGUCUCUAUGCGACGGCGUUCAUCUGAACCGGGUCAGGCCAGGAAUGGAGCAGCCCUAAGGAUGUGAUGUCGGGUGCCGUAGAAUCGCCGUCCGUGAGCUGACGAGCAAAGUAUCACCAGAUUUACCUGACGAUCGAAGGCGGGUGCACAA